CGUCCUCAUCCCCUCUUCUCUCUCCAUUCACAUUCGCUUCCUCUCACGCCAACGUGUCGAUCUCCCGGCUAAAUCUGCCUUAUCGGCGGCGAGCGGGCCGCCAGCAAGCCGCGGGGGUCGUUCUUGUGGCGGGUAGGCGCGGACAGUGGUGGAUCGAGGCGGGGGUCUGGGGGUGCCGCCGUGCCGCCGCCGGCUCGCCGCGGCCGCGUCCACGAGAUCGGAGCGGUAUGGGCCUAGCGUCACCAACAUCAGCGAGCUCCCACUCACCGGAGCGCUCAUCGCGCUGGCAGUGAUGUCCUACUCCUGCGCCGGAGCUGUGGAGAGAAGAUCGACGGCGCUCCCAAGAUGGUGUGCUCGUCUACGGAUUUUGUGACCUGUUCACUUUAAAGGAAUCUCCCUGGUUACAACCUAACAAUGGUGUUGACUGCAACAAGUAUCCUGGUGAAGCUCACUGUGUACGCAGCAGGUUUAGAUGAUCUUUGCUUUAAAUGUACAUUGUAGUUGUGUAUGAACAUGCCUACUUUUCUGCAUCUUUCUUUAGCUGGAGGUGAUGCUAGUACAUCUGUACAUGGACUUGUAUGUUCUUUUUCAUGCGUGGUUUUAUGUCACUACUUUAUGCAAGGUAAGAUUAGUUA
Molecule: long non-coding RNA, 635 nt
Organism: Lolium rigidum
Lineage: Eukaryota; Viridiplantae; Streptophyta; Magnoliopsida; Poales; Poaceae
Exons: 2
Source: RefSeq, a predicted model, not a curated record